AAACUGGAGAGUUUGAUCCUGGCUCAGAACGAACGCUGGCGGCGUGCCUAACACAUGCAAGUCGAACGAGAAAGUUUCCUUCGGGGAAUGAGUAAAGUGGCGCAAGGGUGAGUAACACGUGAGUAACCUGCCCUGGAGUUUGGGAUAACUUGCCGAAAGGCGAGCUAAUACCGAAUUGUAUCCAUGAACCUUGGUUUAUGGAUUAAAGGUGGCCUCUAUUUAUAAGCUACCGCUUCAGGAUGGGCUCGCGCACCAUUAGCUAGUUGGUGGGGUAAUGGCCUACCAAGGCAACGAUGGUUAGUUGGUCUGAGAGGAUGAUCAACCACACUGGAACUGAGACACGGUCCAGACUCCUACGGGAGGCAGCAGUGGGGAAUAUUGCGCAAUGGGGGAAACCCUGACGCAGCAACGCCGCGUGGAGGAUGACGGCCUUCGGGUUGUAAACUCCUGUCAAGUGGGAAGAAUCCCUUGGGGGCCAAUACCCCUCAAGGUUGACGGUACCGCUGGAGGAAGCCCCGGCUAACUCCGUGCCAGCAGCCGCGGUGAUACGGAGGGGGCAAGCGUUGUUCGGAAUUAUUGGGCGUAAAGGGCGUGUAGGCGGCUUGCUAAGUCAGGAGUGAAAUCCCCAGGCUCAACCUGGGAACUGCUUUUGAUACUGGCGAGCUUGAGACCGACAGAGGAAAACGGAAUUCCCAGUGUAGCGGUGAAAUGCGUAGAUAUUGGGAAGAACAUCAGAGGCGAAGGCGGUUUUCUGGGUCGGUACUGACGCUGAAACGCGAAAGCCAGGGGAGCAAACGGGAUUAGAUACCCCGGUAGUCCUGGCCUUAAACGAUGAGCGCUAGGUGUGGGAGGCGUUGACCCCUUCUGUGCCGUAGCUAACGCAUUAAGCGCUCCGCCUGGGGAGUACGGUCGCAAGGCUGAAACUCAAAGGAAUUGACGGGGGCCCGCACAAGCGGUGGAGCAUGUGGUUUAAUUCGACGCAACGCGAAGAACCUUACCUGGGUUUGAACUGCCGUGGAAAGCUCCUGGAGACAGGAGCCCUCUUCGGACUGCGGCAGAGGUGCUGCAUGGCUGUCGUCAGCUCGUGUCGUGAGAUGUUGGGUUAAGUCCCGCAACGAGCGCAACCCCCGCCCUUAGUUGCCAGCGGAUAAUGCCGGGCCACUCUAGGGGGACUGUCGGUGAUAAGCCGGAGGAAGGUGGGGACGACGUCAAGUCAUUAUGGCCUUUAUGUCCAGGGCUACACACGUGCUACAAUGACCGGUACAAAGAGUUGCUAAAUCGCAAGGUGGAGCUAAUCUCAAAAAACCGGCCUCAGUUCGGAUUGAAGUCUGCAAUUCGACUUCAUGAAGUUGGAAUCGCUAGUAAUCGUAGAUCAGCAUGCUACGGUGAAUACGUUCCCGGGCCUUGUACACACCGCCCGUCACACCACGAAAGUUGGUUGCACCAGAAGCCGGUAACCCAACC
Molecule: ribosomal RNA, 1464 nt
Filed under: Nitrospinota bacterium
Lineage: Bacteria; Pseudomonadati; Nitrospinota
Description: bacterial SSU rRNA
Rfam family: Bacterial small subunit ribosomal RNA
Source: RNAcentral